GUCAAGGUUUUGCUAAUUUGUAAUACAGCGACUCAUUCUUCUCCAACUCUUGGAGUGGUCAAUCCCAUCUCGAUCACACUCUGACUUCGCAAGUACUUGACUAUGCCCAGAAGCCUUCCGUCCCUGAAUUAGAAAUUCAGUUAGUCCAGUACCAAAGCACAGUGAGUUGCUUGCAAGUCACUGAGACAAUCUCAAGUCUAAGGGACACUUAUACCUAUAUCCCAUCAGAGACAUUCUCGACAGCAGAAUGCUCUGGAGUUGGUCACGUUCAAUGAUGAUGUACCAGUACAUCUCACCUGUAUGCCAUACCAGUGUCUC
Molecule: long non-coding RNA, 318 nt
Filed under: Elaeis guineensis (African oil palm)
Lineage: Eukaryota; Viridiplantae; Streptophyta; Magnoliopsida; Arecales; Arecaceae
Description: long non-coding RNA (EGUI_LNC050822)
Source: RNAcentral